This 219-nucleotide ribosomal RNA is filed under the name uncultured bacterium. Its description in RNAcentral is "partial 16S ribosomal RNA". It matches the Rfam family "Bacterial small subunit ribosomal RNA", at positions 268 to 504 of the family's 1533-position model. The record is from RNAcentral.
CCAAGGCCACGAUGCAUAGCCGACCUGAGAGGGUGAUCGGCCACAUUGGGACUGAGACACGGCCCAAACUCCUACGGGAGGCAGCAGUGGGGAAUAUUGCACAAUGGGGGAAACCCUGAUGUAGCAACGCCGCGUGAGUGAUGACGGCCUUCGGGUUGUAAAACUCUGUCUUUGGGGACGAUAAUGACGGUACCCAAGGAGGAAGCCACGGCUAACUAC